AAGUUUCUGGGAUGAAAACAAUCAAUUUACUCCACUAAUAGUCUCUAGUUUCUAAGCCUGCGGAGAAAAACCACCAACAGCAACAACAAAAACCCAGCUGCUUUUCCCAGUACUGAAUUAAGAAAGUAAAACAUUGGGUCAGAUUGCCAUUAGAGGGCGCCAGAGAGCAAGCCCCAUCACCUCUCGCACAACUUCCCACAGAAGCCCUCCUAGCUUCCAGCUCCGCCAUGCUCUGUGAUUCCUUCUCUCAGAUGAACGUCACUCUGAAAAAGACUAUUGUGCUCUGUGGACACCUGCUGACCCCAAAAGCAUGGAAUAUGAUAUAGGAGUGGGAACUCUGGCUUCACUUCAAAGUUGAAGGUUAAGUUUCCUAAGCGGAAGUGAAAACAAGGUUUGAUGAUGAGGCUUCGAGAAGGGAGAAGGGCCGGGGAGAAAUAUGGUAAGCAUUCAAUAAAUGGUUGUUGGUAGUUGUUAUGGUGGUGAUGGGAUGGUUAACAAAUCUUUCCUAAGAAAUGCUUUCAAAG
This 524-nucleotide long non-coding RNA is filed under the name Zalophus californianus (California sea lion). RNAcentral describes it as "lncRNA (ENSZCAG00015000847.1)". The record is from RNAcentral. Lineage: Eukaryota; Metazoa; Chordata; Mammalia; Carnivora; Otariidae.